This 1261-nucleotide long non-coding RNA is filed under the name Marmota monax (woodchuck). Lineage: Eukaryota; Metazoa; Chordata; Mammalia; Rodentia; Sciuridae. The record is from RNAcentral.
CUCUGAGACACUCAAACUGCUCGCUUAGGUACCACCUCAGCCCAGCAUUGCUAGGCAUUCUUGAGCAGACAGCAUCCAGACAUUCUGAAGUCUCUCUUUGCCAGCAUAGCUGAGGAGGUCAUGGGAUUGCUCCUUCCGCACCCACCGCCAUGUUCCAACUCCGGACAUUUAUUUUUAAUUAGAAAGUUACAGAUUCUGUUAUUUUGUGCUGUGAUAGUAACAUAUCACAGAAACUUAUAUUUUACAGUUCAGGAAGCUGAGAGUCCAAGAUCCAUGAGACAGCAUUUGGUGAUAACUUUCUUGCCGGGUCAUCCCAUGGCAGAGGGUAUAGAAGGGUAAGGGGGCACUAACUUACCCUGUUAUGAAAUCCUAUUCCCACCAUAACAGCAUAAUCCACUUAUGAGGGCAGAGCCUCAUCACCUCAACAAACUUACCUCAUAAUAUUUUUUCAAUGACAAUAAAUUUCAACGUGACUUUUGGAAAGGACACAAAAUCAAAUCAUAACAGCCUUAUUUACGUGAAAUAAAGAUUAUAGUUUUAUAUCAUCUAAAAUUGGCACUACUGUAGAAAGAAUCAUAAACAGAGAUAACAUGUUAGCACAUUUUGCAUGGUGAAAACAUUAGAUGAAGAGAGGCACUUUGAAGAGAAGGGAGACCUAUAAAAAUACUUGGCUAAAAUAUGUACAUAUUUUUAAAUAAAAAUUUGAAUUUAAGAUAUUCUUUAUAAUAAUUCUCACUGAGUUUAACAGGUAUAUCACUAAUUGUAGAAAAAUUGUUUUCCUGAUUAAAAAUAUAAUAUGCUGAAAAGAGUCAACUGAGAAAAAUCAAUAUAGGCAAAUAUUAAUUAUAAAAUUUAUGCAUGACCAGGAUUGUGGGAAAUUCACUGAAGUUUUUAAAUGAGAUCUUCUUUAAAAAUAUUUUCUUCAGAAAAAAUAUCUCUGACAUGAGAUUAAGGAACACAUGAGGUUAAGAAUCUGAUAAAAGAACAUGGAUGUAUACAAAGAGCUAUCAUUCUUCAAGAGUGUAUAGCCAAUAUAAAGAUUUUAUCUUUUUUAAAGACACUUUGGUACUUAUGAACUUUUGGAAUUUUAAUUUGCAUAAAAUAUUUUAUUUAAAAUGAGUUUUUGACUAGAACCAUUGUAGUAAAUAAAACCAUUACUUGUUUUAAAUGGAACUGUUGUUUUACUAGAAUCAUUACUUUUUAACUAUACCAUUGUAUAGGCAUAGUGAGAAAAUAAAGCUAAUCAUCAGCCAAUAUAAAA